GCAAUCACGCAAAUUUCCGAGUUU
This 24-nucleotide small nuclear RNA is filed under the name Arabidopsis thaliana (thale cress). RNAcentral describes it as "snRNA_11108". Lineage: Eukaryota; Viridiplantae; Streptophyta; Magnoliopsida; Brassicales; Brassicaceae. The record is from RNAcentral.